RNAcentral lists this ribosomal RNA (473 nucleotides) under uncultured bacterium. RNAcentral describes it as "SSU rRNA". It matches the Rfam family "Bacterial small subunit ribosomal RNA", at positions 26 to 518 of the family's 1533-position model. The record is from RNAcentral.
AGGACGAACGCUGGCGGCGUGCUUAACACAUGCAAGUCGAGCGGAAAGGCCCUUCGGGGUACUCGAGCGGCGAACGGGUGAGUAACACGUGAGUAAUCUGCCCCUAGCUCUGGGAUAGCUCCGGGAAACCGGGAUUAAUACCAGAUACGACCACUUUAGACAUCUGUUGUGGUGGAAAGAAUUUUGGCUAGGGAUGAGCUCGCGGCCUAUCAGCUUGUUGGUGAGGUAACGGCUCACCAAGGCGACGACGGGUAGCCGGCCUGAGAGGGCGACCGGCCACACUGGGACUGAGACACGGCCCAGACUCCUACGGAAGGCAGCAGUGGGGAAUAUUGCGCAAUGGGCGAAAGCCUGACGCAGCGACGCCGCGUGGGGAUGAAUGCCUUCGGGUUGUAAACCCGUUUCAGCAGGGACGAAGCGAAAGUGACGGUACCUGCAGAAGAAGCGCCGGCUAACUACGUGCCAGCAGCCGC